Molecule: unclassified non-coding RNA, 227 nt
Filed under: Hevea brasiliensis (rubber tree)
Lineage: Eukaryota; Viridiplantae; Streptophyta; Magnoliopsida; Malpighiales; Euphorbiaceae
Source: RNAcentral
GAGAGAUCAAUCAGUUGCCUUGGAAAGGUGGGAGUGAGAAUAAUCCAGAUUAUGAAUGUCUUCGUGCUGAGUUGAGAAAAAUGGCACCACCCAAUGGACGUGCUGUAUUGUUGUUUAGGUCUAAAUGUGGCUGUCCUGUUGCUAAACUUGAAGGUUGGGGUGCUAAACGAGGGCGUCGGCACAAGAAGACUCUGGCAAUUAAUGGUAAGGCGGAUCAUCGCUGAGUU